RNAcentral lists this ribosomal RNA (404 nucleotides) under Actinomycetes bacterium. RNAcentral describes it as "Actinobacteria bacterium partial 16S ribosomal RNA". It matches the Rfam family "Bacterial small subunit ribosomal RNA", at positions 355 to 776 of the family's 1533-position model. Lineage: Bacteria; Bacillati; Actinomycetota; Actinomycetes. The record is from RNAcentral.
UGGGGAAUAUUGGACAAUGGGCGCAAGCCUGAUCCAGCCAUGCCGCGUGAGUGAUGAAGGCCCUAGGGUUGUAAAGCUCUUUUACCGGUGAAGAUAAUGACGGUAACCGGAGAAGAAGCCCCGGCUAACUUCGUGCCAGCAGCCGCGGUAAUACGAAGGGGGCUAGCGUUGUUCGGAUUUACUGGGCGUAAAGCGCACGUAGGCGGACUAUUAAGUCAGGGGUGAAAUCCCGGGGCUCAACCCCGGAACUGCCUUUGAUACUGGUAGUCUUGAGUUCGAGAGAGGUGAGUGGAAUUCCGAGUGUAGAGGUGAAAUUCGUAGAUAUUCGGAGGAACACCAGUGGCGAAGGCGGCUCACUGGCUCGAUACUGACGCUGAGGUGCGAAAGCGUGGGGAGCAAACAGG